Long non-coding RNA from Pipra filicauda (Wire-tailed manakin), 9893 nucleotides. RefSeq lists it as uncharacterized. The transcript has 4 exons. NCBI's taxonomy places the organism in Eukaryota, Metazoa, Chordata, Aves, Passeriformes, Pipridae. The record is from RefSeq and is a predicted model, not a curated record.
GUCUCGCGAGAUCUCUGGCAACGGCCGCCCGUGCUGCCCUGAGGGGGAACAGUGAGAAGGAGCCUCCGAACCUGCCCUGUGCCCUCCGUGUCCCCUCACAGUCCCCCUACCCCUCGUGACCACACCAGGGAGGUGUCUCCCAGCGCCCUCAGUGAGGCUCAGGCCCCCCUCACACCCUUCGGUGCGCAGGUAGCUCUGCCCGCCUUGCAGGUGUAGGAGUUCCUUUAAGGCAGCACAAGGACAGCGGGAAAGGCAGAAAGGCAGUGAAAGCCCUCAAAAACCGCUUAGUGAGGCCGGGAUUUCACAAAGGCCCCAGGAUGUAAUCGGGAGGGAAGAUAAUUCUAGGAAGAGUUUCACAGCUCAUGAACACCCAGUGCCUGUAAACCUGUGGGGUUUUUGCAUCAGAGGGGGCAAAGUGACCGCGAGUGAGAAGGUGAGGGCCAGGGAGGUGCUGCAGGACUCACCUCCUCCCUGGCAAUGGUCAUGUUGUCCUGCACGUUCCCAAAGACCGUGGGCUGGAUGAAGUAGCCCCUGUCGGCAGCGGCGUUGCCACCACACAGCAGUUUGGCUCCCUCACGCUUCCCAGAGCUGAUGUAACCCAGGAUCUUCUUGAACUGCUCUUCAUCCACCUGUGAGCCAUGAGGACACACAUCAGCUCCACCUCCACUGGGGGGAAAGUAGAUUCUGCUCCCACCUGCUGUGCUCCAGCAAUUCCCAAUCACAACAGAGUGCCCAGCCAGCUUCAAAGGGAGCAUUUUUAAAUGCCAGCGUCAAGUGGAGGUUGUGGAAUCAUCAGAAUGGUUAAUUAACCUUUCCCCCUGCACAAGCAAGGAGAUCAUGGGACAGUUCAAAGGAGGUUAAUCAAGAGACUGAAGGAUAAUUCCAUUCUAAUCUAGUGACACACUAUGGCUCAGGAUUGGGACUAUUCCAUGAGGUAACAGCUGAGGGCAUUUCCUGCUCUUACCUGAGGCCCCUGCUCAGUUUUAAAGUCGAAGGGGUUUCCGACCACCCUGGCCUUGGCCUUCUCAACACUCCUCUCCACAAACUCAUUGUAAAUGUCCUCCUGGACGUACGUGCGGGACCCGGCACAGCAGCACUGCCCUUGGUUGAAGAACAGGGCGAAGUGGGCUUGAUCCACUGCCCAGUCCACUAAGAGUGGGGAGAGGAGAGAAAACAAAUCAGCAAACAAACCCAACCAAAGUCAGAAGAUGACUUCUUUAGAACAAUUAUCACAGAGACUGAUGGGGGUACAACGUCCUGUCAGUUGGCAGCGUUUUCCAUGCUUUGGUGUGGCAGAAGUUACAUACAUAUUUCCUUCAUAUGAGGGUCUAUUAAGGCACCCCAUACUAGACAAAAAUACCUAAUCUGAGGCAGAUUACAGCCCUAAUUUGAAUUUGUCAGGUAUUAAGGACAAAUUUUUUUAGAUCCAGAAGAAUUUCCUCCCUCACUGCCAUAUAAAAGCACAUUUCUUGGUUCAUCAGGACCAAAAAUGAGACAGUAUGCAAGGGAGGAGGGAACCAGGGCUUCUUAAGUGUAGGGAAGAGUGGUGUGCUCCAAGAGAAACAGAAAUUAAACCAAAAAUGGAGCAAAGAUCAGGGGAAGAUACUGAAACAACAGGUUGUUGACAACUGAACUUCACAGCACUGGGAAAAAAAAUUGGGACUGGAGCAGUGCUGAUACUCUGGGUGAGACCAGCCCAGGGGAGUCAGGGCUGGACAGCAGAGGUUUCCUUUCCUUUCCCCUCCAGCUCUGCCUGCAGAAAGUCAAGGUAAAAGGCACAGAUCAAACUUUACACAGCAGGGACUCACUGUCUGCAUCGGACAUGAUGAUAUUGGGGCUCUUCCCUCCAAGCUCCAGGGUCACCCUCUUCAGGUUACUCUCUGCUGCAGCUUUCUGGAUCAGGUGCCCAACCUGCAGGAGAGCAGAGCAGGGGCUGGAAUUAACUCCUCCAUCAGCAAAGCCUGGCAGGGCACUGGGUUUACACCUCAGUCAGCACUUCAGUAAUAAUCCCCUCAUUGUCAGGGCUGUAAGGCUGCCCAGUUUCACCUCCAGUAAGAAGCAGCUUAAGGGAAACAAUGGGAAAUAUUCUAAAGAACAAAAUAAGAAUAAGAGUCUUAUGUCAUGCAAAAAGAAAUGUCACACCCUGGGAUCAGCUGUGGUUUUUAAAAUGAGAUGUAGAAGGCAAAGCACCUCCAGUAUUUUAUACAGAAAAGGCAAACACCUCCAGUGUUUUAUACAGCAACGGUGUUCCAGCAGCAAGAUAUUCCCUGCAUCCCAAGGGCUGGAAGGUUGAGGUGCUCCCUUACCUCUGUGGAGCCAGUGAAAGCCACUUUAUCAAUGUCCAUGUGGGAGGAGAUGGCAGCCCCUGCCGUGGGCCCAUAGCCAGGGAUGAUGUUCACCACUCCUGGUGGGAAUCCAGCCUGACAAUUCCCAGGAGACAGCAAUGUUAUUCCUCUUACAAAUCAAGGAUUUCACCUCCACCCCUCUGUUAGUGACCCUCAGUCAGCCUCCCACCAGGAACAGAGCAUUUCCACUUCACUUUCACUUUGGGAAAUUAAAAUUGGUUUGGGGUUUUAAUGCUCAGUUUGCAAUGACCAGGACAAUUCUCCCCACCCACAUCCCAAGCAGUUUGGAUCCAUAUAUACACACACAUAUAUAUAUAUGUUCACUUUCUAAUCACCCUGGAGCUCAUUAUUUAACUGAACCUCAAAGAGUCCUUCCCUAAUCUACAUACAGAUUUAUAAGGACAAAAGGGGUUGUUUUUUUUUGCUGAAUCAAUGCUAAGAGACCCAAGACAAUCCAGCCUCUCUGCAGAGCAGCCCCUCCCUGUUCCUGUCACAUCCCAGUGUGGGUGGAUCUCUCCCCACUCCAGCAGGGGAUGGAAGCCUGGCCUUGGCACUCACCUCUUUGAUCAGACUGGCCACGUAGAGGCCACUCAGGGGGGUUUGCUCUGCCACCUUCAUCACCACCACGUUCCCAGUGGCCAGGGCAGGCCCCAGUUUCCAGGCUUGCAUCAACAGUGGGAAGUUCCACUGAAAAACAAGGAGGGAUUUGCUGGUCUGAACUGGAAAGUUUCUGAUUAUUCAGCAGCAGAUACAAAGUAAAUGUUACUCAGAGCCCAUGAAAUCAACUCCCAGAGCCAAGGAAGAGCCCUCCCAGCUGGUGCAAGCAGAGCUUUGUUUACCACAGAGAGGAAGCAGUGGUGCAGCAACAGAUAGUAACUUUGUAACACUGAAUUCUUGAAAUGCUGCAGGAACUGCUGUUACAUUUUACUUACUGGGAUUAUCUGUCCACAAACUCCCACUGGCUCAUGUCUGGUGUAGCAGAAGAAGUCUCCGUCUAAUGGGAUGGUUUUCCCAUGGAAUUUAUCUGACCAGCCUGCACAGUAUCUGGAGACAAUAAUGUUUUGGUCACUGAAUUUAAAACAACCAGUCAUUACAGAAUAACAAGUAUCCUGUCAACAGAAAACAAGAGCAAUUUCCUCCAGCUAUUUGCUUCCUUCCCAUUUUCAGUCACUUCCUAAAACACACCCCGAUGCAAAUAUUUCCCAAAAAGGGGAUGUUAAGGGUGGCCAGUAAACGCAAAUAUUUGUGUCUUCCACUUUUGCCAGCACUUUGCACAACAUAAAUUCUGCCAUUCCUGUGCUGUUAACGGAUCACGACCAUUAGUGUGAGACCUGUGUAUAACAUGAGACAAUGUAUAGUUAACAAACCUUUGGAAAGCCACAGGAAUUACGGCAAAAGGUAAACCCAAGGUGUCAGACACUCUGCUAUGGGCCAGAUGAAACCACCAGUCAGCUCCAGACCCCACAGCCCCUGAACGGGAGGGACCUGGUCCUACCCCUGCAGAGGUUUGUUUGCCACGGGCCAGCUGUGGCUGUCACCUCAUACCCACCUGAGACACUUGACCACCAUGUCCAGAUCCACCAGGUAGGAGAUGGCGUAGGGUUUGCCGUUGUCCAGAGUCUCCAGAGCCUGCGAAAGACAACAGCGGCUUCCCAAAAGUACCUCUCCACCCUUUGCAGCCCUGUCCCAGCCUGAGCUGUGGGUGAAGCCCCUGGGACACCCGAUGGACACCAACUCUCGUGGGCAGAGCUGGGUCACGGAGCACAACACUCACCGCCAGGUAGGCCCGGUCCCGCUCAAUCAGGUCGGCGAGGCGGUGCAGCAGCUUCCCCCGCUGGGAAGCAUCCAUCCUCCUCCAGGGAGAGCCCAGCUGGAACGCUGCCUUGGCUGCCUUCACCGCCUUGUCCACAUCUGCCUGCAGAGGAGGCCAGGAAGAGGGUGAGAAAGGAAUAACCAGCCCACACUCUCUCUCUCUCAAAAUCCACUCUCCAGAAGAAAACAACUCCUAGCCAGAGUGGCUGCUUGUGCCAGGCUUUCUGGGGACAAGAACCUGCAGCUUUGGCAGCUGCCUCACUGCAAGACACCAUCAGCACAUGGGCCACAGCCCCUGGGUUUGCCCUGGGACCACCAGCCCGGGCAGCACUGCAGCAGCACAGCCUCGCACAAACACUGCACUGGAGCCCACACAGCUUUCCCAGCCAGUCUGUAUCCAUGGGGAAGAGGGAACAGGAUUGGUAGUGCAGCAGAGGGUGCAACAGCUGUGCAGCCACCACCUCCACCCUCACUCACACUGUUAGUUCAACUACAGGGAGUGCAAACAUCAUCAAGUUAUUUCUGCAGUGUCACCUGCUGAGUUAAUAUUUGCAUCGUAGAACCAGGCAUGGAAAAAGCUCUGGAAGUGUGCUUUUGACACUCUUCAGGAUUCAGUCUAGAGGAGUUUUUCCUUGAUCGGAGAUCUCCAUCAUUUUGUCCUGUCAGGCACUAAUUGGUUUCUGGUUGGUUCUCUGUCCUGGCUUGCUGGAAUGGUCUCGCCAGGACAAGCCAGGCUGCCACGGAGAACAAACAACAAAGGGUUUCCCUCACUCACCCCUCCCUUGGGGAACUCAAACAAGUUUCCAGACUGUAGGAAGAACCCAAAAUUGCUGGGAAACACCAUCUUAGCUCUACCACAAACUCUUAGCAGGGCCUUGCGUAAGGCAGGGGAUGAUUGUGUGACUAUUCCCCACCAGUUCUUUUUUCAAUUUUUUAAUUUCCUAGGGCUGGGAUUGGUCUCCCACUGCAGCAGAAAGGGGCUGUGAGGGGAAUCCUGACCUUCUAUGUCCUCUCUCACUGUGACUCUGUGUCACACUGCCAGCACAGCACCCACAGGACCACAGAGGUGUCUGCCUUCAUCCCUGCCCAUCCCAGCAACCUCUGCCCAGGACUGCUCCCAAACCUCCCAACUCUGGCUCUGCUGCACACCACAUCUGUUCCUCUCUGCCCUUCCCAGUCCCGGCUUGGUGCUGGAAAGGGCAAAUCCAGGUUCUGUUGAGAGCAGCAGUCAAGGAAGAACACAAGCAGCACUUGAUGAGGUAUUUGCAUACAGAGCCCUUGCAGAGCUGCCCAGGUGAGAGGGGAGGUGGUGCCUUCCUCUGCAACCCCCCUGGACCUGCUCACACAGAAAACAAACCCGUCUCACCCAAACCACACUCACCUUAUCACCCUCAGCCACCUGGCAGAUGACUUCCCCCGUGGCUGGGUUGAUGGUGGGGAAGGUUUUCUUGCUGACAGCAUCGUGCCAUUCGUUAUUUAUGAAAAUCUGCAAAGGAAAAGCCAAGCAGAGCUAAGGCUUCGAGUCAGAGCCCAGUGAAAUCUGGGGGAGCUUUGUUUGAUGGCAGCUGAGGAGGCUUUAAUUAAAAGGGCUUAACUUGACUUGUGUGGGGUCCAAACCUGCACCAAUAUGAAGGAGAUAUUUUAGCCUAAAAGCACACAACAGAAGACACAGCCUCGAGCUAAUCAAAGAAUUCACAGCUCAGCAAACAGCAUGAGAAUUGGAAGCAGUUCCCAUCUUGGGAAAACCUUGCAACACCUGGAAGCCUGGCUGGAGGUGUGCAGGGAUACUGGGAAACUCAGGAGACUGAGCAGUGGGAAAAUGCUUUAGACACAGACAUACAGUUAUUCGAUUUUGUACAGAGCACUAGAGUUUUUGCAGCAUUUCUUACAGUCUUAAGGGUCUUUUCCAACUUAAAUGAUUCUAUUAUUUCCCAGAUUAACUGAUUUUAGGCUCCCACGCACUGUUCUGAAACAGAACCAGGUGCCAACAACAGCUUUUCACCAAUUCUUUCUUUCUUUCUUUCAAAGGGUGAAUUUGUUUUCCCAGGUCCAAAACAGGAGCGCGAGUGCAAAGAUCGUGGUGCUCGCCCAGAACUCGCCGAGCAUUCGGCCAACCACCGCCAGCCUGGCCACAGCCACCGGGGAGGAGUGGAAUUCCUUGGGAGAGGAAUGCUGCCUUCCCCAGCACCCCGCACAGGUGAUCCCACAGCGUUUGCUCUGGAACAAGGGUCUGAUCUCUGCAGACAACCAGCACCCAGCCAGGCACCUUCCCCUCCUCAUUCCCAUUCCCAGAGUUUCCUCCUUUUCCCGAUGCUGAGCCCACCGGGGGAUGGGGACAGAGCCCGAUGGUGGCGGGACCCACACUCUGAGCCCCACAGGGCACCCAGGGAGCUUUUCCAGUGGGAUUUUCCCGCAGCACAAGGUUUCGGGCCCAAAUCUCCGGGGGCUCCAGCGCUCCCAGCGUUCCACCGGGAUGUCCCAGCCCCGCACGCGGACAGGGCAGCCCCGGACCCGGCGGCCCAGCCCGGCUGAGCCGGGACCAGCGCGGCCCCAGCACGGCCCUACCUUGUUGAAGGCGAUGUCGGGGCGCGGGUUGGGCGCCGGGAUGGGGGAGGCGGCGGCGGCCGAGAAGGGCGCCCGGAGCUGGGCCGGGCAGAGCCGGGAGCUGCGCACCAGCGCCCGCAACAUGCUGAGCUGAGCCGAGCUGAGCUGGGCUGGGCCGGGCCGGGCCCCGCUCCUCGGGGCGGCCCCGCUCCGCCCCGCCCCGCCCACCUCGGCACGGCUCGGCCCACGGGGCUGGGUCCCGCACGGCUCGGCUCGGUGCUGCCUAGAACUGACUUGGCGUGACUUGGUUCGGAUGGAAUCGUCUCGAUCCAGUUCGGUGCGGGCAGCGCAGUUUGGCUCAGCUCGGCUCAGCACGGUCCCGUUUGGAUCAGCUUAGCGUGGCUCAGCAGGACUCAGCUGGGCUCAGCUGGGCUCAGCACCGUUCGGGUCAGUUCAGCCCAGCUCAGUUCAGUUCAAAUGAGGCUUGGUUUGGUGCACCGGGGAUGCCUCAUCAGCGUCCAGCAGCCACACUGUCCCUGCCACUAUCCCUGCCCAGGGAACUUAGUGCAGGAAACAAUUAGGAAAAAUGCAGAGAAAAAACCCAAAAGCAUCUCCCUUGUGCUGGUUACUUUUGUGGGAAAGUGCUGCGAUGAGGGAAAAGCUGGGGACCUGGCCCGUGGAUGUGCCACCACUACCACGCACAAGGGAAUCCAAAAGAGAAGCUCCUGUGUGUCUGGCAGUGGGACAAAACCACUCAAGUGCUUUCACAACAGGGACAUUACUCAGUGCAUACAAAGGAGAGGCUUUGUAAAAUCACUCCCAACAGUGGCUCAAGGCCUUUUUUUCUUGUUUGCUUAAGAUGCCUUGUGCAACUUCAGGCUCCCAAGUGCAGGGAACGGGGGUGUGCUCACGUUAUCAUCACCAUCACUAAGGAAGCCACAGACCAAAAACAUCAAGAGUUUUUAACCUCUCAAAGAAACCUGUGGUAUUACCCUGUGUCUGACUGCACUUUUUUGGCUUCUUCAGUGAGGGGUCUCUGAAAGGUCACAGGGAUGGCUCUGGUUUAUAAAAGGUGCCACAAAAAUUGCGGGAUAUGUCAGUUCAGAUAUAGUUUCCCCCGGUGUCCUGGAAGACCUAGGGUGCUGAAAGUCUUGCUGGAGGUUCCUGCAUCUGUGGUUCUCCAGGCAUUUCCCUCCCUGCUGUGCAGGGAGGAACCACAGAGCCCAGAGACGCAAAAUGCCUGCCCAAGGUUAUCCAGCAGGACUCAGAUUAGGCUGUGUGUAUCCUGGAUCAGCUGAAAAGAAAUCCUCUUGGGCAGGAUCUCCUCUCUCAUCCCUGUCCCCCUGUAUCCCCUGAAGGGUGAUCGAUUCCCUUCACCACUCCAGACAGCAGGUCGUGGACAGCCCUUUAGGAGAUGGCACUUGCAAGGACGACUUGUUCCAACACAGUCUCCAUGCUGUUACAGACCUGUACUGUUAAACCACUGUGGGAGAUGCCAGACAGACCUGUUUUACCUGCAGAGAUGUGCCUGUGUCUCCCAGAGGGAGCAGGUCAGGCUGUGUAUCCACAGGGCACGUCACAGAGCUGAGCUCCAGCUCAGGGUAAGCCCCCAUGUGUGUCCUGCUGAUCCCGUGGUGGAAAAUGGAUGACAUUGAGCGCUAGCCCUGUGUUAAUGCUCCUCUUGAGCCCGUUUUCUUCCCUGGGGCUUAGCAGACAGACCCAGCAGCACUAACCCACCUCGAUGGCAGACCCAGCUCUGAGCCCUCCAGGGGCUGCGAUUGAGCCUGAAAGAUGAGACGGUGGGAGGUGCAGAAGCCAAGUGCCUGCUCAGAAACCAUCCCAAGUGCCUGAGCUGGGCAGAUCCAGGCUCAGAUACAGGCUCCCUCCCUCUUGCACAGCAGAGCCAAGUGCCUGAGGUUGAGGUGGAAUUUCACCCCAGAGCCUGGGAGAGUCCAAAGCUCAGGUUACCAGCUUCCCUAAACUCCACGACCCUGGUGUUGGGCAGCCAGCAUGGCCACCCCAGGGCUCCUGGAAGUGCCCCUUGUGUCCCUGAGAGCAGGGAUGUGGUCCCCACCCAUGGCAGGUGGAUGUGGCCUUGUGAAAGUGGGCUGUGAGGCUGUGCCCAUGCUGGAGGAGCUGGAGAAUCCAAAGAACUGUGCCCAUCGCUUUAAUAUUGAACUAAUACCACACAUAAAGAACCUGGAAUUACCAUGAUUGUUCCCACAGUUCUCCCCUUGCUCUGACCUCCCUGAAGUACUGAAAUCACCCAUUGAUCUAGACUGCAUCUUCCAUGAUCCCUGAAGAAACCCAGAGAGACCCACUGCAGUCACGGGACAAUGGAGUCCUCCAGUUCCAGGGGCCAGGCACUGUCUCAGCUCCAAAGUCUCCCCUGAAUCCAGAGUCCUUGAGGUCAUUCCUGACCAACUCUCCCUGCUGCGGGACUGACGCUCUGGAGCCUCAUGGUCCAAGGAUGAUUUUGCCCCAUAUUGAGCUGGGUAAUAAAGGCACUGAGCACAGAUAACAACAAACAGCACUGGAAUUGGGAAGCUCACAGGCUGCCCUUAGCACAAGGGCCUCUCCUGUGCCAGAGUGGAUGGUUUAGUUUUCCAUCCGAGGCUCCAAAGGACUGGGACCCUCACGGGACCCUCAGCCAGAUGCGGAGCUCAGGUCCAAGGGAAGCACCAGGCUGGGAUCUGCACUGUGGAGAUGUUCUGCUCCAGAGACCUGUGGGAGAGUGAGAUCAGAGCCCAGAUGGGCACAGAAAGGGCUGGAGGACCAGGGCAGGAUGGCAGGGAGUGCCCUGGGAACACAGUGCUGGGGAAACAUCCUCCUGGGAGCCCCAUAGGACAAAUCACCCCUCAUGCUCACAGGCCCCAUGCUGCAGUGGGGUGGAGGAGGCCCUAGGAGGGAGGGGAGGUCCCUGUGUUGUUUUUUUUGAGUCAAGGAAGGCUCAAGCGUUAGGUGUCUGCUCACCUGGCUGCCCUGAUCCACAGCCUGUACAGCCACCAGAGCCUCUGCUUUGGUCCUGGCACGCUCUGCCUGGGGGAAGAGUAUUAUUAUUAUUAUUAUUAUUAUUAAGACACAUUAGGUGGUCUGGUGACCCUGAUGUCCCUCUGAUAGCCAGUCUGAGGGAGAAACUGAACUCCUCUGGACAGGAUCUCCCCGGAGAACUGUGGGGACAGGCAACCUUUG